CAAAAGAACAGAAACGACUCCCACUGCUCCGACAAGUCCUUGGAUUACCCUCCUCCGAAUUUGCUCGUGAUCGGGGACGUCCCAACAACUGUGUUGCAACUGGUAGAAGACAGUUACAGCCAGCCGGGAAGUUGGAGAAUAAAAAAUAAGGGUGAACGUUCAAGUUGGGCGGGGUCUUCGCUUUCUCUGAUCCAUGACUCAUCCGGGUAGCCGUCGUUGCCCUGGGAAACCAGGAGACGCCGUGACUCGUGCGUCUUGUAUCUAUAGAAACGACAACAUGGCGGCGGUGUGAGUUCUGAGCGUUGGUCCCAGCGACCCGGCGAGCUGCACGAGUGGCCAGGGAAGAGUCCAGAGGCAGAGGCUGUUUGUAGAAUGCCCUAUGGUUACAGCCAUUACUGAGCCAGGGAAGUACUACAAAGCCAUCCAACAGCAGAAAAGUAAUGGGGCCUUCCUCCCUGUCUCACCAGCUUGCAUCUCUUUGAUUCCAUCUGAAUGUUCACUUCCAAUUGAAGAGGAGGCCAGCCAUGUUCAGAGGCAACAAGUAGAGAGUAAAAGCCAGGUAAAAGCAAUGCAUAUGCUUCAGUGACACGCGCUGGGAGCUUACUGAGAAAUGCCACGUGUGGCUGUGGAGGGCAGUGCUGCGUGGGCCUCAUCCCCAGUUCCCUUUUCCAAAUGGCCUUUCCUGAAUGGUGAUCCUCUAGGCUCCCAGACGAAGCCCUGGGUCUUGUAUUCAGGCUCGUUUCUCACGUGCCACUUCACACCUGUUGCCAGAGCUCGGAAGCAGGCAACUCCUCCAUGAUCAGUGUCCAUGGUGAGUCUUC
RNAcentral lists this long non-coding RNA (821 nucleotides) under Bos indicus x Bos taurus (hybrid cattle). RNAcentral's name for it is "lncRNA (ENSBIXG00000019118.1)". Lineage: Eukaryota; Metazoa; Chordata; Mammalia; Artiodactyla; Bovidae. The record is from RNAcentral.